This 459-nucleotide ribosomal RNA is filed under the name uncultured bacterium. RNAcentral describes it as "partial 16S ribosomal RNA". It matches the Rfam family "Bacterial small subunit ribosomal RNA", at positions 338 to 795 of the family's 1533-position model. The record is from RNAcentral.
CCUACGGGAGGCAGCAGUGAGGAAUAUUGGUCAAUGGGCGGAAGCCUGAACCAGCCAAGUAGCGUGCAGGAUGACGGCCCUACGGGUUGUAAACUGCUUUUAUACGGGAAUAACGCGCCUUACGUGUAGGGCUUUGCAUGUACCUUAUGAAUAAGGACCGGCUAAUUCCGUGCCAGCAGCCGCGGUAAUACGGAAGGUCCGGGCGUUAUCCGGAUUUAGUGGGUUUAAAGGGUGCGUAGGCGGAUUUUUAAGUCGACGGUAAAAGGUCCGGGCUCAACCAUGAAUGGCCGUUGAAACUGGGGAUCUUGAGUAGGCGUGAAGUAUGCGGAAUGCGUGGUGUAGCGGUGAAAUGCUGAGAUAUCACGCAGAACCCCGAUUGCGAAGGCAGCAUACCAGCGCCCGACUGACGCUGAGGCACGAAAGCGUGGGGAUCGAACAGGAUUAGAUACCCGGGUAGUC